GCCAGACUCCUACGGGAGGCAGCAGUGGGGAAUAUUGCACAAUGGGGGAAACCCUGAUGCAGCGACGCCGCGUGAGCGAUGAAGUAUUUCGGUAUGUAAAGCUCUAUCAGCAGGGAAGAAAAUGACGGUACCUGACUAAGAAGCCCCGGCUAACUACGUGCCAGCAGCCGCGGUAAUACGUAGGGGGCAAGCGUUAUCCGGAUUUACUGGGUGUAAAGGGAGCGUAGACGGCAGUGCAAGUCCGGAGUGAAAGCCCGGGGCUCAACCCUGGGACUGCUCUGGAAACUGUAAAGCUGGAGUGCGGGAGGGGCAGGCGGAAUUCCUGGUGUAGCGGUGAAAUGCGUAGAUAUCAGGAGGAACACCGGCGGCGAAGGCGGCCUGCUGGACCGUAACUGACGUUGAGGCUCGAAAGCGUGGGGAGCAAACAGGAUUAGAUACCCGUGUAU
This 446-nucleotide ribosomal RNA is filed under the name uncultured bacterium. RNAcentral's name for it is "bacterial SSU rRNA". It matches the Rfam family "Bacterial small subunit ribosomal RNA", at positions 330 to 793 of the family's 1533-position model. The record is from RNAcentral.